CCUACGGGAGGCUGCAGUGAGGAAUAUUGGUCAAUGGACGAGAGUCUGAACCAGCCAAGUAGCGUGAAGGAUGACUGCCCUAUGGGUUGUAAACUUCUUUUAUAAAGGAAUAAAACGAGGCACGUGUGCCUUUUUGCAUGUACUUUAUGAAUAAGGAUCGGCUAACUCCGUGCCAGCAGCCGCGGUAAUACGGAGGAUCCGAGCGUUAUCCGGAUUUAUUGGGUUUAAAGGGAGCGUAGAUGGGUUGUUAAGUCAGUUGUGAAAGUUUGCGGCUCAACCGUAAAAUUGCAAUUGAUACUGGCAGUCUUGAGUACAGUUGAGGUAGGCGGAAUGCGUGGUGUAGCGGUGAAAUGCUUAGAGAUCACGAAGAACCCCGAUUGCGAAGGCAGCUUACUAAGCUGUGACUGACAUUGAUGCCCGAAAGUGUGGGUAGCAAACAGGAUUAGAUACCCCAGUAGUC
Molecule: ribosomal RNA, 460 nt
Filed under: uncultured bacterium
Lineage: Bacteria
Description: partial 16S ribosomal RNA
Rfam family: Bacterial small subunit ribosomal RNA
Source: RNAcentral